This 429-nucleotide ribosomal RNA is filed under the name Actinomycetes bacterium. RNAcentral's name for it is "Actinobacteria bacterium partial 16S ribosomal RNA". It matches the Rfam family "Bacterial small subunit ribosomal RNA", at positions 355 to 776 of the family's 1533-position model. The record is from RNAcentral. Lineage: Bacteria; Bacillati; Actinomycetota; Actinomycetes.
UAGGGAAUCUUCCGCAAUGGGCGAAAGCCUGACGGAGCAACGCCGCGUGAGUGAUGAAGGUCUUCGGAUCGUAAAACUCUGUUAUUAGGGAAGAACAAAUGUGUAAGUAUCUAUGCACGUCUUGACGGUACCUAAUCAGAAAGCCACGGCUAACUACGUGCCAGCAGCCGCGGUAAUACGUAGGUGGCAAGCGUUAUCCGGAAUUAUUGGGCGUAAAGCGCGCGUAGGCGGUUUUUUAAGUCUGAUGUGAAAGCCCACGGCUCAACCGUGGAGGGUCAUUGGAAACUGGAAAACUUGAGUGCAGAAGAGGAAAGUGGAAUUCCAUGUGUAGCGGUGAAAUGCGCAGAGAUAUGGAGGAACACCAGUGGCGAAGGCGACUUUCUGGUCUGUAACUGACGCUGAUGUGCGAAAGCGUGGGGAUCAAACAGG